GAUGAAUGCUGGCGGCGUGCUUAACACAUGCAAGUCGAACGAGAAGUGAGGACGGAAACCUUCGGGCGGAAGACUUUAUUUCGAGUGGCGGACGGGUGAGUAACGCGUGGGUAACCUGCCUCAUACAGGGGGAUAACAGUUGGAAACGACUGUUAAUACCGCAUAAGACCACAGCACCGCAUGGUGCAGGGGUAAAAACUCCGGUGGUAUGAGAUGGACCCGCGUUCGAUUAGCCAGUUGGCGGGGUAACGGCCCACCAAAGCGACGAUCGAUAGCUGAUCUGAGAGGAUGACCGGCCACAUUGGGACUGAGACACGGCCCAAACUCCUACGGGAGGCAGCAGUGGGGAAUAUUGCACAAUGGGGGAAACCCUGAUGCAGCGACGCCGCGUGAGUGAAGAAGUAUUUCGGUAUGUAGAGCUCUAUCAGCAGGGAAGAAAAUGACGGUACCUGAGUAAGAAGCCCCGGCUAACUACGUGCCAGCAGCCGCGGUAAUACGUAGGGGGCAAGCGUUAUCCGGAUUUACUGGGUGUAAAGGGAGCGCAGACGGCUCUGCAAGUCUGAAGUGAAAGCCCGCGGCUUAACCGCGGGACUGCUUUGGAAACUGUAAGGCUUGAGUAUCGGAGGGGCAGGCGGAAUUCCUAGUGUAGCGGUGAAAUGCGUAGAUAUUAGGAAGAACACCGGUGGCGAAGGCGGCCUGCUGGACGAAAACUGACGUUGAGGCUCGAAGGCGUGGGGAGCAAACAGG
Molecule: ribosomal RNA, 747 nt
Filed under: uncultured Moryella sp.
Lineage: Bacteria; Bacillati; Bacillota; Clostridia; Lachnospirales; Lachnospiraceae
Description: bacterial SSU rRNA
Rfam family: Bacterial small subunit ribosomal RNA
Source: RNAcentral